Molecule: long non-coding RNA, 2686 nt
Organism: Parus major (Great Tit)
Lineage: Eukaryota; Metazoa; Chordata; Aves; Passeriformes; Paridae
Exons: 3
Source: RefSeq, a predicted model, not a curated record
UCAUAGUCUUGGCCUUCAUAGAGAUUCAUGAAUCACAAAUUUGCUUGAAAAUUAAUUUUUUCAGUAGUGAAUGGAAAUAAAAUAGACAAGCAGAGAAAGCUCAGGUUAAAUGAAACUGGCAUUGCAAACCAUGAACUAGUUCAUCUUCAUGACAGAAAACUGAAGUAAUCUCACAUCAAGAUCAUAUGAAUAAUUAAUUUACCUUUCAUUCAAGAGCAUACUCUGACCUAAAAAUAUAUGUGAAGUGGUAUGUUACCUUUACUUAAAAACAGUUUCUUGUUGGCAUGGUUUAACUACUGAACUGAAGUCUAAAAAGAGAGAAUGCCUCUACUAUUAAUCUUUAAUAAGACAUGCCACAUAGGAGAGCUAUAAUUCAACAGGCAACAGCAAAUAAUUCCACAUAAUUUUUGAUAUUAUAUAACUUCAAUUUAUUGAGAAAACAUUGUCAAUAAAAAAGACAGACUGUUAGUACUAUAUGCAAGGAUGCUAGUUUAGAAAAGUUGUGACUAAAAUUUGAGUGCUGCUGGCAAAGAAACUCACUUUCCAUUGCCAAAAGAGUGCCUAAAGUAUUAUUUUCUUUUUCUGUGUUGUAAUACUUUAAUACAGUGAAACAAGCCAGUUGCAUUUAACUUGGUUUCAUGAUCCCUUUAUGACACUAUGUAUUGCAAUGACCUCAAUAUAAUCAGACCUGAUUUUAUAAACAGCACAAAACCAGUCCUUCCAUUAAUCAAAGAUACAAGUAAUAAAUUAUGUUCAUUUUCAGCUUGCCUGAGAGAAACGGAGACCUAGAGUAACAAAAGUGAAAAAAGAUCCAUCCAAAUGGCCAAAUCCUUCUGCUGGGGGCCAGGUUUGGAAACAGGAUUCAGGGUGGAGUUGCAUGAGAGCAGAGCUGAGGGACAGAACAGCCCUGGGAACUGAAGAAUAGAGAAACAAAGAACCAAAUGCUCCAAAAGUGAACCCAAACCCCUGGGUCUGGGCUAAGCACCACAAGGUAGAAUGAAUGAAAAGAAAAACUUCCACAAAAUCAUCAAGGAAACUGCCAUCUGCUUGUCUUGAAGGUUUUCUCUACUCCUGAUCAGAGGUUGUAAUGGCAAAACAGGUCCUGGUACAUCAUCUGUACUUUACAGACAAUGUAGAAAACUUAAAGAAAUGUUUGUAAAAUACUAUACUCAUGUGUGAGUGCAAAAGUACUGAUAUAUUGGUAUUCUGUUACAGUGUUUCAGUGUCUUAUGAAAGGUUGUAGUGAAAGGUGAAAAUAGUAUCACAAGUGAAAUUGAUGCACUGUUAUAGCAAAGAUGUAAAGGAAGAAAUUAGCAUAUUUUGAAUUUUCCAUGAAAUCGCUAGGAGUAACUGUGAGAAUGUUCCUUAAUGACUUUACCACAGGCUACAAAAAACAUUUUUUAGUAUCACAAAUACAUUUGAAAUAAAUAUAAAGCUUUUUAUUUAAGUUAACAUAAAGUAAACAUAGAGCUUCAAAUUCAAAUUAAUUUAAUUUCAAAUAGAUAUUUUAAUUAAUUCUGUAACAGUGUUAUGUCUCCUGCCAUAGGUAAAUGUAUUAGGCAUAAUAUAUUAGCAUAAUGAAAAGGUGAUCUCUGCCUCAUGAAACAGACAAAUUCCCUUUUCCUUGCCUUCAGUACUCCUGUAUGACUACUCUGUAGCCUCUGUGGUCCUUACAUUGUUUCAUCAGAAAAUAUGAUACUAUUCUCUCCUCAGUUUAAAUCCAAUGUGGUCAAAUCUGAGUUUGCUUUUUCCUGCAAAAUCUCCAAACCCCCUGUUUAGAUAUUUAUCUGUACUGAUGAUGUAACAUGGACAUUUCCACUCAGACCCACAAACCAGGCUCAUUUAGGAUGCUUCUAUUCCUUUCCUGUGCAUGUCCACUCCCCUAUCCUGCUCUGUCUUUGGCCUAUUCCCGACUGGUUCGUUUGCAUUAAAAAGAUUUUCAAACCUUCUCCUGUCUUUAGGAUCCAUUGCAGCUCUACCCUUUGCUGUUCAGUCUCUCAUCUCUGUCAGCAUCUUUGCCACAUUUACCAAAUUUUUGUUUAUCUUUCCUCUUCCAAUACUCUACCCUGAUUAUGAAGACCUUUUCUAUUACUUCAAGUCUGCUGUGUACUAUAAUUAGCUAUGAGUUUUAGCCUCAUGUUCUUCAAAUUUUUAGUUUUAAGAACAACACUAUUGAACUCAUAGGGAUUACUUUGAUUUUAGAAAUUUUUUGUCAUGAUUUUUGAGAAUCACCAGUUUCUUAGUUUAAUUUUGUCUGUAAAUAUAAAUUCCAAAUAUAUCAUGCUUUUAAAUUCUUAAAGAGAAGUUCAUCAUGCUUCUGAAAAAAAAAAAAAAUCCAAGAACAAUCUUAUGAAUCUUAGUAUCUUUCAUUUAAAAGACAAUAAAAUUUAUCCUAAGCUUGCAGUAAUUAUCUAUUACUUUUGUUUUCCCCAUUUUACAUCAUUUUUCUUCAUUUUUGUUCAAAUGUUUGGUGUUUUGUUCUUUCUCUUUGAUUGUUAUCUUUUCAGCUAUCAUCUUAUGAUGCAUAAUAGACACCCUACAGAGAUCACUUGGAAGCACAACAUAAUCAUUAAUAAAAUUAGUGGGAUGGAUUGAAAAUAGAAUGUUUUUUCUAUUUAUGCUCUGUAUUCAAACAGAUAGAAAGUAUCAUCAUGAAGAGCUUGAUGAUGAUAAAUGAAAACUAAGG